Molecule: long non-coding RNA, 667 nt
Filed under: Mytilus galloprovincialis (Mediterranean mussel)
Lineage: Eukaryota; Metazoa; Mollusca; Bivalvia; Mytilida; Mytilidae
Source: RNAcentral
AAUACUAAGAGAGAGAUUUUAUUAGACCCUCAAAGUCUUGAACACCUAUAUUUGAAAUUUCAUUGAUUAAACUACGACGACGUAAAUCGCAGACAGCUUGAAAAACUUUGUAAACGGUAUUAAUAGUAGCAUACGCGGUUUGGAAUCUUUGGGAACAAAUGAGAACACUUUUGUAACUAUUUUCUGUUCUUUAAUAUACUAUACGUUGUCUUCCGAUGUACGAAAAACAUAAUCUAGGACCGCAAAACGAUUGCUUGGACAUAUAAUCAUUUAAAGUAGCAAUAAAGAGGGACACUGCGUACAGGUCAUAUGACAAUCUUUAGGAGCAAGUCAUGACGAAUCAGACAUUUCAUCGACCGCUUCGUUUGUUUCUGAAACGAUUAACGGAAAGAAUGGACAAUACUUUCAGCCGAUAAAAUGUAUGAAAUGCUCGUUUUGUGAGGAAUCACAUCAUCCGAAUACAUGCAAAACGUGCGACAUAUCGAGAAACGCAUACAAUUGUAAAGCAAAAAAAAUAUAUUCUUUAACUGUUAUUCAAUCACAGAGGUAAAACUCUUUCCAGAUGUAUUAUCACACACACACUCUGAAUAUCAAAGUCAUAUGAAUCCAGUUAGCCGUAUUUUGUAAAUGUAGGGUCAAAAUUGGCAUGUAAAAAAGGUAACUGUUA